AGUGAAUAAUGCUUUGAAAU
Molecule: non-coding RNA, 20 nt
Filed under: Mus musculus (house mouse)
Lineage: Eukaryota; Metazoa; Chordata; Mammalia; Rodentia; Muridae
Source: RNAcentral